This is a long non-coding RNA of Zingiber officinale, 1206 nucleotides long. RefSeq lists it as uncharacterized. The transcript is spliced from 4 exons. NCBI's taxonomy places the organism in Eukaryota, Viridiplantae, Streptophyta, Magnoliopsida, Zingiberales, Zingiberaceae. The record is from RefSeq and is a predicted model, not a curated record.
GAUCCCUCUCCUCCUCCCCUUUCGCGAACCCGAGCUUUCCUCUUACCCUCCCUCAUGCGCCGACUCUUCCCUUCUUCCGAUCUCACCGUAGCGCCCCAUGCCGCCGCCGCCCGAGCCUUCGUUCCCUGUUCCUCUUUUCCGAGCUCCGCCGAUCCUUUUCUUCUUCAUCGAGCUCGCACCACCGCUUCUUCUACUCUUCUGUUUUCUUCCUCCGAUCGCCGAGAAGAGCCACCUUCUCCUUCCCCUAGCACCGAGCGCAUGGCACUAUCCGAGGCAAAGUCGUCGGUUUCCAACCUCUCGAUCAAGGUGAAGAUCCAAGCAGAGGUUCGCUGGUUUUGGUUACUGGCGAACCUUCCUCCUCUUCUCCUCUUCCGAGUUCUCCUUGCUCCCGACGCCACUUCCUCUCGCCACAACCGAUUGCCAGCCAAAUCACAUCGGCUGUUUUCUCUCUGCCCUAGCGCCGACCAAGUUUUUUCUUCCCCUUUUCUCUUCCGUCGCGACAUCGCCGCUAACGUCGAUUCUUCUCUCGACCUCUUCUUUGCGUCACCCAUAGUCGACGCCGUCGCACGAAGCAGCGCUGAUGACGAGGACUUUCCUCUUCCCCUCUGCCUUAGCAUCAGCAUCCCAAGAUUUCUUCCAAACGAUUGCUUCGCCCGAGCCCUAGUUUUCCAGACGCUAUUUUCUUCUUCUGUCGACUUUGCCCCAAUGCCUACUGCUUGAUGCCAUAAUCUAGCAGCCACCUCCCUUGCCAUAGCGUCGAUCCACAUCUCAUAGUAGGGACAAGAAGGCAGUGGCUUCACUUGGUCUCGACUACCGUCUCCGGCAGUGAGUUGCUUCCACUGUGAGUAGUGCAUUGGAUUUGGAGGACUUUGAUUAGAGGUGAGCGUCUCAACAUGGGAUUUAUUUGAUACAAUCUUCUUUUGAGAUACUAGGUAGAUACUUUUGGAGUCGCUUGGAGUAUCCUGUCUGCCGGUUUCCACGUCACAUCCGAAGACCUGUUUCGGGUUUUCAUUUGCUCUUUAUUUGGACUAUGUCUUUGGUUUACUUAGAAAUGUAAAAUUUCAGUUUUGGUUCUGGAGUGUUGUGAUGUGGUGUUUUGUAUUGUUUGUUGUGUUGUGUAAGCCUAGCCGGCUAGCAAUCCUUGUUUUUGGUCUGUGAUGGUUUCUAUCGUAUUUCCGCUGUGUUUUUUCUUUUUAAUACAACCGA